RNAcentral lists this long non-coding RNA (1231 nucleotides) under Androctonus crassicauda. Lineage: Eukaryota; Metazoa; Arthropoda; Arachnida; Scorpiones; Buthidae. The record is from RNAcentral.
AGUGACGGGGCGAAACAAGCCCUUCUACAGGCUGCCCACCUCUGCGGAAGGCCAGCCGGAUUGUGGAAGACGGGAAUCAACGGGCCAGGCCCGGAUCCAUGAUAAAUAUUUUCAAGAAGUGGGACCCAAGAUUCGAAUUCGGAUCCUCCAAAGUGGAAAGCCGAAGCGUUUCCAGGCGGCCAAUCCGGCCGACUAUAUUUUAAAGUAAAGCGCGAAUCACUGGUACAUCCAUUUGCUGAAUUUUUCUUAAUUUUUUUUUUUUGUUUGCAUGGUGUUUGCCAGUUAUUAUAAAAGUUCCGGCAUACGACAUUUGCAUCAGAGUUAGCUGGUUUGCCAGUUGAAAUAUUUGUAUCUGCAUCUGGAAGAUCCGAGUUUGAAUGCUGCCUCCAUCUGCCACUCCUUAUUAUUAAGCUGUUGACAAACUCCAUUCCAAAUAUAACGGCUUAUAGAGGCCUAUGGAAUAGCCUUUCCACUUGAUAACUUAUCUGAUAAAGAUUGCUAAUGAUAAAAACACUACAAAAAAUAUUUGUAUUCGAUUCCGCAAAUUUUGAAAUCUGUCGUCAAAUCUGUAUGGUAAAGCAGUGGAUUAUCACUUUGGAAGAUCUAAGAUUCCAAUUCCAGAUUUCAUAUCUCUAAUUUUUCAGAAGUGAUCUAGACCUAGCCCUUUAAAUCCUCUCUUUCAUCUUUCCGAUUAACCCCACAAAGAAUAUUGGCCAGCCUGUGUUAGAUUCUAAAAGUGGUCACCGCCAUAUAAAGUUUUUAGUUAACUCAUCAUGUGUGAUAUGGCGGAUUAAACUAAAAACUGAAUUGAAUUCUGUUUUAAAAUGUCAAUGUUAUUGUAUAAAAUUGAAAAUCUAUAUGUAUUAUCAUUCUACAUUAUUUCUUAGUUUAACUUCACUUUCCAUCUUUAUCAGAUAUAUAAACGAUGGGAAGUUCCAGAACUGCUUACAUCAGAGAUGAGGAAUGGAAUCAAUGGGCCGUGUCUGAUCCUCCUAAAGAAUCUAGAAAUCGAUUGUGGAUCUUCCAAAUGGAAGGACCUUACUGUCUCGCCAGACGAUUGAUGUUACUAAUCGAGAAGUUUUUAUUUAUCGAUAAUACGAUUAUCCUCCAUAGGAUUUAUGUGAACAGUUAUCUUCAUGAAAAAAGGACUAUAUUUAGAAUUUUCUAAUCGAUUUUUCAAAACGAAUAAAAUAUAUCUAUAUGCUGGACUGACCCUCAAAAAACUACCGAC